Molecule: small nuclear RNA, 323 nt
Filed under: Erinaceus europaeus (western European hedgehog)
Lineage: Eukaryota; Metazoa; Chordata; Mammalia; Eulipotyphla; Erinaceidae
Description: 7SK RNA
Rfam family: 7SK RNA
About the family: 7SK was discovered as an abundant small nuclear RNA in the mid-70s but a possible function has only recently been suggested. Two independent studies have found that 7SK RNA binds the CDK9/cyclin T complex (known as elongation factor P-TEFb). P-TEFb activates transcription by phosphorylating the C-terminal domain of RNA polymerase II.
Source: Rfam by way of RNAcentral
GGAUGUGAGGGUGAUCUGGCUGGGACAUCUGUCACCCCAUUGAUUGGAAGGGUUAAUUUGGUUGAUCUGGCUGGUUAGGCGGGUGUCCCCUUCCUCCCUCACCACUCCAUGUGUGUCCCUCCUGAAGCUGCGUGCUCUGUCAAAGAGGAUGGCCUUUCCUGAAUAGAGACGGACCAGUCUUCAGUCCAGGGUAUAUGAGUAGCUGCGCUUCCCUGCUAGAACCUCCAAACAAGCUCUCAAGGAUCCCAGUUCAAGCCCUGGCUCCCUACCUGCAGGGGAGUCGCUUCACAGGCAGUGAAGCAGGUCUGCAGGUGUCUUUCUCU